This 739-nucleotide ribosomal RNA is filed under the name Salmonella enterica subsp. enterica serovar Agama. Its description in RNAcentral is "partial 23S ribosomal RNA". It matches the Rfam family "Bacterial large subunit ribosomal RNA", at positions 514 to 1251 of the family's 2925-position model. The record is from RNAcentral. Lineage: Bacteria; Pseudomonadati; Pseudomonadota; Gammaproteobacteria; Enterobacterales; Enterobacteriaceae.
GCGAAAAGAACCCCGGCGAGGGGAGUGAAAAAGAACCUGAAACCGUGUACGUACAAGCAGUGGGAGCACAGGUUUACCUGUGUGACUGCGUACCUUUUGUAUAAUGGGUCAGCGACUUAUAUUCUGUAGCAAGGUUAACCGAAUAGGGGAGCCGCAGGGAAACCGAGUCUUAAUUGGGCGUUAAGUUGCAGGGUAUAGACCCGAAACCCGGUGAUCUAGCCAUGGGCAGGUUGAAGGUUGGGUAACACUAACUGGAGGACCGAACCGACUAAUGUUGAAAAAUUAGCGGAUGACCUGUGGCUGGGGGUGAAAGGCCAAUCAAACCGGGAGAUAGCUGGUUCUCCCCGAAAGCUAUUUAGGUAGCGCCUCGUGAAUUCAUCUCCGGGGGUAGAGCACUGUUUCGGCUAGGGGGCCAUCCCGGCUUACCAACCCGAUGCAAACUGCGAAUACCGGAGAAUGUUAUCACGGGAGACACACGGCGGGUGCUAACGUCCGUCGUGAAGAGGGAAACAACCCAGACCGCCAGCUAAGGUCCCAAAGUCAUGGUUAAGUGGGAAACGAUGUGGGAAGGCCCAGACAGCCAGGAUGUUGGCUUAGAAGCAGCCAUCAUUUAAAGAAAGCGUAAUAGCUCACUGGUCGAGUCGGCCUGCGCGGAAGAUGUAACGGGGCUAAACCAUGCACCGAAGCUGCGGCAGCGACGCUGAUGCGUUGUUGGGUAGGGGAGCGUUCUGUAAGCCUG